UGUAGCCGGAGCGAAAGCGAGUCUGAAUAGGGCGCAUAGUCAGUGGAGGUAGACGCGAAACCCUGUGAUCUACCCAUGACCAGGUUGAAGUUGCAGUAACAUGCAAUGGAGGACCGAACCAGUAUACGUUGAAAAGUAUUUGGAUGAGUUGUGGGUAGGGGUGAAAGGCCAAUCAAACUGGGAGAUAGCUCGUACUCCCCGAAAUGCUUUUAGGAGCAGCGUGGAGGUUAAGUCUGGCAGAGGUAGAGCUACCGAUAGGACUAGGGGGAGUCAAAUCCUACCAAAUCCUGACGAACUCCGAAUGCUGUCAGAUAUACUCUGCAGUGAGGGUUUGGGUGCUAAGGUCCAAAUCCGAGAGGGAAAGAACCCAGAACUACAGCUAAGGUCCCAAAAUCUGUGUUAAGUUGAACUAAGGCGGUCCAGUUGCAGAGACAGCCAGGAUGUUGGCUUGGAAGCAGCCAUUCAUUUAAAGAGUGCGUAACAGCUCACUGGUCGAGCGAUAGGGCAUCGAUAAUAAUCGGGCAUCAAACACAGUACCGAAGCUUAGUCAGUAUUUAUACUGGGUAGGGGAGCAUUCUAUAGGCGGUGAAGCAGUCCUGUCAGGGAUUGUGGAGCGUAUAGAAAAGCAAAUGUAGGCAUAAGUAACGAUAAUGCAGGUGAGAAACCUGCACACCGAUAGACUAAGGUUUCCUGAUCAACGCUAAUCGGAUCAGGGUUAGUCGGGACCUAAGGCGAACCCGAAGGGGGUAGUCGAUGGACAAUUGGUUAAUAUUCCAAUACUACCAAUAUCAACGAUGGGGUGACGGAGUAGUGAAAGUCCUGCGUACUGACGGAAUAGUACGUUAAAGGGUGUAGUUAUAAGUUGAGUAGGCAAAUCCGCUCGACUUGAUGAACCUGAUAGUACCACAAUCCUUCGGGAGCGUGGAUAUGGACCUAAUCAGACUUCCAAGAAAAACCUCUAAGUAUAUGUUAUUGGUACCCGUACCGUAAACCGACACAGGUAGUCAAGGAGAGAAUCCUGAGGUGCUCGAGUGAUUCAUGGCUAAGGAACUAGGCAAAAUGACCCUGUAACUUCGGGAGAAGGGGUCCCUACGUGAGUAGGGCGCAGCGAAACGAUCCAGGCGACUGUUUAUCAAAAACACAUGGCUUUGCGAACUUGAAAGAGGAAGUAUAAGGCCUGACACCUGCCCGGUGCUGGAAGGUUAAGGGGAACUGUUAGCUUUGGCGACGCGGUGAACUUAAGCCCCAGUAAACGGCGGUGGUAACUAUAACCAUCCUAAGGUAGCGAAAUUCCUUGUCGGGUAAGUUCCG
Molecule: ribosomal RNA, 1311 nt
Filed under: Thalassiosira minuscula
Lineage: Eukaryota; Bacillariophyta; Thalassiosirophyceae; Thalassiosirales; Thalassiosiraceae
Description: partial Bacterial large subunit ribosomal RNA
Rfam family: Bacterial large subunit ribosomal RNA
Source: RNAcentral